RNAcentral lists this ribosomal RNA (292 nucleotides) under uncultured Haemophilus sp. RNAcentral describes it as "partial 16S ribosomal RNA". It matches the Rfam family "Bacterial small subunit ribosomal RNA", at positions 390 to 674 of the family's 1533-position model. Lineage: Bacteria; Pseudomonadati; Pseudomonadota; Gammaproteobacteria; Pasteurellales; Pasteurellaceae. The record is from RNAcentral.
AGCCAUGCCGCGUGAAUGAAGAAGGCCUUCGGGUUGUAAAGUUCUUUCGGUAGCGAGGAAGGCACUUAGUUUAAUAAACUAGGUGAUUGACGUUAACUACAGAAGAAGCACCGGCUAACUCCGUGCCAGCAGCCGCGGUAAUACGGAGGGUGCGAGCGUUAAUCGGAAUAACUGGGCGUAAAGGGCACGCAGGCGGUGACUUAAGUGAGGUGUGAAAGCCCCGGGCUUAACCUGGGAAUUGCAUUUCAUACUGGGUCGCUAGAGUACUUUAGGGAGGGGUAGAAUUCCACGU